This is a long non-coding RNA of Jatropha curcas, 626 nucleotides long. RefSeq lists it as uncharacterized. The record is from RefSeq and is a predicted model, not a curated record. Lineage: Eukaryota; Viridiplantae; Streptophyta; Magnoliopsida; Malpighiales; Euphorbiaceae.
CAAAAUGGUUAAAUUGAAUCGAAACGCUUAAUUCAAUAUAAAAUAGUCUAAAUCAGAACAAACAUAAUCUCUUUCACCUCUCUCAUACGAUUCACGAUUGCAGCAAAUCCUUAGCGCCGCAGACGCCAUUACCGGCCGUGAAAGAGCGGCGACACCUUUGAUCGAUCGACUCUCCUCCUCCUUCGCUCCCAGCGAUGGUGAAGCCCCAAAUCGUUAAGUAUCCCUCUCACCUGUCAAGAAGAACCACCAUUAUCUGCAUUAAAGGAAGCAGUUUCUGAAAUUACUUUCAGUCUGAUUUUGGAGGAUGUUGGUUUUUCGGCAACCGCAUAUUGCGGCUCUCCUGUCGGCCGGUGGUGAUCAGCAGUGACCAGAACCCCCAUCCUCAGAACAUUGUAUUUUCAAUGUAGAUUGUGAUUAUGCAGUUAGUUUUGCAAAUGAAUAUUGAUUGAUACUUGAAUUAUCAAUCGAGGCAAUUAGGCUCUGGAACCGAAAAAUUACAGAAACUGAUAUUCCAAAGGUUGUUUUGACACUAGAAAGCCUUGGCUAACCAGCUGCCAUAAGAAUGUAUAAGAAACUUAACAAUUUGAUAAUUAAUGUUUCAAAAGUAUGUAUAUGUGUUCUGUUUA